Dreissena polymorpha is the source of this 3232-nucleotide long non-coding RNA. RefSeq lists it as uncharacterized. The record is from RefSeq and is a predicted model, not a curated record. Lineage: Eukaryota; Metazoa; Mollusca; Bivalvia; Myida; Dreissenidae. The transcript has 4 exons.
AAGAAAUGCCUUAAGGCAAACGCUAUGUAGAUUUUGCAGCUUUAUGUUAAGGCAAUAUGUGUUCACAUCGCAUCAUUGAUUAAGGAAGUUUAUUUUACGAUUUUCAGUUAGUUACAUUUAUUCAUAACCUAUCCUUGCGCAUUGUAUUCAAAACAACCGUAUUAGGAAAACAUAUUAUCGGGACUAAAAACAAAACGAACCAUUAAAUCUGAUAUAGUUCAUCUGACUGAACAAUGAAAAUGGCGGACAACAGAGGAUAUGGAACUAUGCCGCCCGGAGCCCCUGGUCCACACCAACCAUCCCCAGGGCCAUACCCUCCGAUCGGGCAGUAUAUGCCUGUAACACCUAAUUGUAUGGCAUGUCGGGUUGGCUUCAUGCAAGAGGGGUACUCCAUUGUUGGUAUUAUACUUGCCAUCGUCUUUUUCCCUAUCGGCAUCCUUUGCUGUCUGAUGAUGAAAGAGAAGAAGUGUUCAAACUGUGGGUCUACCGUUUCCAUGUAAAGCCGCAAUAUCUACGAACUUAUAAUGAAGAAAGAUUGGUGUUGAGGUGCACAUAUCUUACAAUGUGCCUGCAUUAUUUCUACAUGGAUCCAUAACCCUACUUACAUAGCAUUAUUGGAGACUCUAACCCUAAUAUAAAAAGGUGCCAAAAAACGUUAUUUUGUGUUUUUGAAGGUAUAAAUACAUGUAUAUUAUUUUAAUGCUUGUUUGAUUUUCAUGGAGAUGUUUUGUCAUUUCCUAGUUUGUUAUACUAUAAGAUGUAAGGGAAAUUCUAAUUUCAUACCUAGUAUGAAUUGUUAUGAACAAUGCUUUUCCUAAUCUCUCUACAUAAUAACUUGUAAAUUUUAAUUCACUUUCUAAGUUUUCUAAAUCUUGUUCUAUCUCGCUGAAUUUAUUAAACAUAUUGUCCAUUUAUACACAAGAUCAUUUGCACUUUAAGAAAACCCGUGUCAGGGAAAAAUAAUCUUGUAACUGAAACCGCACUCAGCGGGAUUUGAGUCAUAUCGACGUUUUUCAUUUAAAACUUCCUGUUCAAAUAACAUCCAUAUCUAUAGAACACGCUUCCGGUUGUGAUGUGCCACGUUAUGGUGGUAUAGAUGCUCUGUGGUGUACCGCAUUUGCUCUUUAAAACUUAAGUGUAUGUUGCAAGUGUGCAACGUAACUCGUACUGUUUUUCGACCAAUUGUGUUGACAAUAAUACAAACAAAUUCGUUGCAGUGGUAAUUAUUAUGUUACUAUUUUCCGCUAUAUUAAAACGAUAUUGUUGAUGAUGAUAAUGAUAGAUAUUACUAUUAUUAUUAUAUAAUUAAGAAUGAAAAAUUGACCGGAAAAGAUUUUGAAUGGCAUAAGUUAAAAAGGCUUCAUGUCAACAAACGAUUUCAGAAACAAACUACAGCAAACUGUGGACUCUCAUAGUUUUUGCUCUAUUUAUUCGCAGUAAGAAGAAAUGAUUUGAAUCUAAGACAUGACUUAGUUGGGACUCUCAUAGUUUUUGCUCUAUUUAUUCGCAGUAAGAAGAAAUGAUUUGAAUCUAAGACAUGACUUAGUUGGUCAUAUGAGUAUUCAAAGCGUAAAUUGCGUUUCAAAUGUAACAUUUACAGACGAAUUGCACUCAAAGACUAUGAGAUACAUAUUACUGUAAAAGCAUGUGGAUAAAAAAUAAUGAUUACGUCUGUACACAACAACGUCGUUUACUGAACAUAUACAAACUCAAAUUUUAAUUUUAUCGAGUAAGGUUUCAAUGUGUUAGAUGUGGAACAUGUUUGAAACAAAUGCGUUUGAUAUAGGGUAUAGCAUACACCAAAUGAGCUCUUAAAUAUUAGACAACGAUAUAAGACACACAAUUUUAUGUUGUCAUUUUAAUCAGCCUUAACAUACGACAGUUAAUACACAAAAUGUUGAAAUGAACGCGGUCUCUUUAACAAUUAUAACGGAAAGACCCAGUAUAUUAAUUUUCUUAAAGAUCAUAAAAUGCUCAAAAUUAACGAAAAUUUCGUAGCAUAAAUAUAUCUCAUAAAAAAUUACUGUUCCUUAAGGCAAUAUCCAAAAUUUCAUCGCUAGAUUUGGUCUGGUAAUAUUGAUUUCACGAGAUACAACACGCUCGUUUUUAUUCUUUUGUAAAACAGUAUAUUCCCUUUGAAUUACCGCCGACGUUAUCCGAACAUUAACGAGCGAACACGAGAAUGGGCUCGGGCAGCGUCGGAAGCAAAACAUAGUCCUCGUGAUUUAUUUAUAAUUUGUUUUACAUUUCAAAGGUAAUUCUUUUAUAGUUACAAUUUGUAGAUUAUCUUCAUAAGUGUGUUAGUUCAAAUAGCGUUUACUUUAUUGCUUUGUAUAUUCAAUUGAAAUGGUGUAUAUCUGACGCUAUAGAAUUCUUAUAAAACCGUGAUAAUACUUUCUGGAAUAGCUUGCAUAAAGAAUAUGAAAAUGAACGCAAACCGAAGUAAUCCGAUCCUGCCUCGAGAUUAUCCUCAAAACGAGCAAGAUGACAUCGUGAAACGAUUUUAAGAUGCUAACAAGUUGAAGAGUGUUUGUAUUUUAACUAUUUUAUACCAAUGUUACGGUCUUCCUAUUGUUAUUAACCUUCGCUUGGCACUUUUUUGUUGUUGGCAGUUUGUAUUAAGCAUAAUAGUAUUGGACAGUGUUUACGGAUCUUUAAACGACGAGCUUUUUAUUCUUACACAAUUUUCAAUUUUGACUGAUUCAAAGCGAUUUCGUUAGAAGAAACACAUGAACAUCAUACAUGUUUUUGUAUUGUGUGACUGUUCUGUACAUUCGGGUCGGAAAUGACACAUACUAUUUAUUUUAAUUUAAUUUGCACCAAUAGUGAGUGGGUUUUAUGUAUAAUUCAUACUGAAUAUACUGUGAUUCGAACAAAUUACAAUUUUGAUGAUUUUUGUGUUUAUGCAUGUCGACUUUUUGCCGAUUUUAUUUAUAUUUCAAAUCAUAACCUUGUAAUAAAUAAAGGGAUAAAGGCAGAGAUGAGUUAAUGUUAGCAUUUUUAUUUUCAUAGAAAAUUCGUUUUUACUUAUGUAAUCAAAUACAUGAUGAAGUAUAUAGAAUAUUAUGGCCAUGAAGCAUGGACUUUAUGUUUGUUAUUGGUGUAUUAAUUGUGUGCAUUGCCUGGUAAUUGUUUAUGUAUGUAGAACAUUUUGCUGAUACCAGAAAUGAUUUUACAAAACGGAUACGUUACUUAACUGCUUGUCUAUAUAUCAAAAUAAAUAUACAACUUC